AUUGAACGCUGGCGGCAUGCCUUACACAUGCAAGUCGAACGGCAGCGGACCUUCGGGUGCCGGCGAGUGGCGAACGGGUGAGUAAUAUAUCGGAACGUACCUUUCAGUGGGGGAUAACGUAGCGAAAGUUACGCUAAUACCGCAUAUUCUGUGAGCAGGAAAGCAGGGGAUUGUAAGACCUUGCGCUGAUUGAGCGGCCGAUAUCAGAUUAGCUAGUUGGUGAGGUAAAGGCUCACCAAGGCGACGAUCUGUAGCGGGUCUGAGAGGAUGAUCCGCCACACUGGAACUGAGACACGGUCCAGACUCCUACGGGAGGCAGCAGUGGGGAAUUUUGGACAAUGGGCGCAAGCCUGAUCCAGCCAUGCCGCGUGAGUGAAGAAGGCCUUCGG
Molecule: ribosomal RNA, 389 nt
Filed under: uncultured bacterium
Lineage: Bacteria
Description: bacterial SSU rRNA
Rfam family: Bacterial small subunit ribosomal RNA
Source: RNAcentral